GUUUCAACAAAGAAUUCAUUUAGGGGAUUGUUUUUUCACUUACUUUUUUAAUGUUGUAAUUUCACAUCGAAGGUGGGAAACGUUCUGACAUGAUUUUCCUUGGUUUCUUUUUUUACAUCGUAAAAACCUGCAAUUUUAACACGGGCGUGUAGACUUUUUAUAUCCGUUGUAUGGGAAACGUUUUGUUGGUCCUGCUUUCAUGUGAUUUGCAACCAGUGCAAUAGCAUGCUAGCAACCAGCUGAUAUUCCUUAGAGUGACGCUAAAUGGUUGCUAUACUAUUGCAGGUGGUUGCUAGGUGGUUGCUAUGCAAAUGUUUUCUGUUGGAACAUCAACCUUGCUGCAGGUUUCUUGCCGGUGCAGAUUCUUGUGGAUUUAUUUACAAAAAUUUUUUUAUAGCUAACGCUUGAACUCUGAUCGACAACUGAAGCUUCUUCCAUUCUUACGCUUGCUUGAUGAAACUGAGGAUUUCUGCUGGAGUUCUCAUGCAAAUCUUUUCCCAUAUGAUGCUAUGAAUACUAAACCGAAAGUCUCAAAAGGUAAUUCCUUGCAGAAGUGUGAAAACAAAAGGGUUGUAGGUCAGAGUAUAUGGAUUGUUAGUUGCUGUCCUGUUGAGGUGUGGUGUGAGAUGUGUAGGUCUUUGCAGUCAAAACAGCAUUUGCAUUUGCACUGAAACGUACCUGUCUCUUCUGACAAGCAGGAAAACCAGAGGCUGUGGUUUUUUAUUUCCUUUAAGAAUUUUACCUGUAUGAUACCUGCGUCGGUCUGAGUAGUUUUUGUUCGCUCUGUCUGUCUAACAAAAAUGAAACUAGAAACAACUAGAAAGUUGUGAACAAAAUUUCAUGUUGGCUUGACAGAGACCAUUAAACAAUGUAGGAGGUGGUUGCUAGGCAGUAGCUAUGGUAUUCCAGGUGAUUGACAGGGUGUUGCUCGGUGGUUGUUAUGGCAUGCCAGUUGGUUUCUAGACUGUUGUUAGGUGGUUUCUAUUCUACGCGUGAAGUUUGCUUAGGUGUUGCUAGGUGGUUGCGUUAUCAUCACAGCUGGUUGCUAGGUAUUGCUACCACCUGGAAUAUCAUAGCAAGCACCUAGCAACACCCCAGCAGCCAGCUGGAUUAACAGAGCAACCACCUAGCAACUGCCCAGCAACAUCCUAGUAACCACCUUCCAUAUUGUUCAGUGGUCUCUGUCAAGCCAGCAUCAAAAUUCAUUCAUAACCUUUAUCCUGCUAGUUUAAUUUCUGUUAUUGAUAUGAAAAUAGAACGACCAAAAAGUACACAGACCUACACACGGGUAUUACACAGGUAAAACGAGACGUUCAAAUGCUUAAAGGAAAUGCAAAACACAGCUGGUGGGCUUCCUGCUUGUCAGAAAAGGCGUGUACUCUUCAAUGCAAAUGUAAAUGUUGGUAUUUAAAACACACACGCAUACACAUCUCUAGCCAUACCUCGACAGGACAGCGGCACCUCACAAUUCAUAUAAUCUUACCUACAAACCUUUUGUGUUUGUACAUCUGCACAGAAUGACCUUCAGAUGACCUUUAGAUUAGUUUUUAAGACUUCGGGUUGAGUAUUCAUAGCUUCAUAUGGGAAAAGAACUUCCGAGUAGAAAUCUUCAGUUUCUGCGAGGAAGCCUGAGAAUGGAAGACGCUCCAGGUGUUCGUCGGAGUUCUAGGAUCCGCUCAAAUAAGUUCAGUAGAAUCUGCUGGGGCAAGAAACUGGCAGACAGGAUGAUUUUCGUGCGCUGCUUCCAGUUCAGUGUGUGGACGACCAAGCUGGAUUAAAUGGCGUGGUUAUUUAUGAGGACGACAUUUUCCCCAUCUCAAAUCCCAGAUCUCAAAUCCCACUUCCAGUUCGGUGUGUGGACGACCCGAUGCCUGAAAACGCCGUGGAGGUUUACGGAAACGAGGAAUUCCCGAUGAGAAAUCAGCUACCGCUUCCAGUUCCGUGUGUUGACGACCCGCUGGGUUUAAAUGCUGUCGUAGCUACCGAAGAUCAGACUUUCUCCAUGCCAAAUCAGCCACCUGAGAGUGUCCUCAUUGUCUUACCCAUUGUGAAUACACAUGUUUAUAUAGUUAGUGCGAUCAUAUUAGUUGUAAUAUACUUAUCAUGAACGAUUUUUGUUUUGUUUUAUGAUUUCAGGUUGUUGGAAAUGGAGAAGAAUCCGAAUAAAUACAAUAAAUGGCUGUAAUAAGACUGUGUGUAAUGUGUUGUUUGUGGUAAGCUAAGCCAUUAGCUAAUUAGCGACUCUGACUAUCUACCCACAUCUUUCUCCAACUCUUUACAGAAUUCAAGCUCCGUUUUAGACUUCGUGUCACUUUGGUGUUGUAAGAGCUGCUACAGCCUAUAGGAAAAUGUGUAAGGAGCAUUUUCAUAAUGGAGGUGGUGUUCACUUUAGAAUAGCUCACUUUGUUCGUUGAGAUCCAGGGCUCCAGAUGGCCACUAAGAUGGUCGCCAAUGCGACUAACUUUUUAAUUUUGCGGCCAUGUUUUUUCUGCCAGUCGCCAGUGGCCACCGUUACC
This is a long non-coding RNA of Ictalurus furcatus (blue catfish), 2516 nucleotides long. RefSeq lists it as uncharacterized. The record is from RefSeq and is a predicted model, not a curated record. NCBI's taxonomy places the organism in Eukaryota, Metazoa, Chordata, Actinopteri, Siluriformes, Ictaluridae. The transcript is spliced from 4 exons.